UGUACGGAAGAAGAGUGCAACGUUCUCGCUCUGCUAUGCUGUGAAAGUAGUUUUGAGGUCAAUGUUGAUCUGCUUCGUUUUCUUUCACAUGUCGCUUUUUCCAAGACUUGAUAGGGUCAUAUUGAUUUGUAUACUAGCCAUAAUGGUGAAAUUAUAUUUUUGGUUCUAUCAGAGUCGUUCAAACAUCAAAUCCCGUGUACAACCUGUGGAAAUGAAGCGUUCAAAAAUGGCGAAUAUGAGAGGCGAUGAACUGUGCCGGGCAGGGUGGGGACACUCAUCAUCUUCCGUGGAUAUCUCUGGAAACCACAAGCCGAUGAGUAAGAAUGUAAUGAGGUGAUCGUCAGUGAACCUGUCAAAUGCAGUCUUUGAAAGAAGUACCGCCCACCAUAGAUGUACGUACAUGUCCAACCACCCACACCUUUGAAAUAGCCUAGAGACUGUAUGACUAAUCCUUUACAGCAAACAAAGAAAUGACUGCAAAACUAAAAGAUUUCACUUUUUAAACUCUUCUAAUGUCAUACCUCAAGCUCACAAUUAGUUUACUUUGUUCAUCAAGGCACAGUGUGCAAUGGCAUUGAUCAUUCAUACAUAGUAAAAACAUGGUUGCACCAGAUUUAGCAAGUCCCUCAUUUUCAUCUGUACCUCAUGUUAAUGUUUUUAUUGCCCUGUUAUUGAGUUGUACUCCCAUAGCAGAAAUUUAGA
Long non-coding RNA from Cheilinus undulatus (humphead wrasse), 702 nucleotides. RefSeq lists it as uncharacterized. Lineage: Eukaryota; Metazoa; Chordata; Actinopteri; Labriformes; Labridae. The record is from RefSeq and is a predicted model, not a curated record. The transcript is spliced from 3 exons.